AGACCCCUUCUCUCUCCCUCUCAUCCACUCUCCGUCUGUCCCUCUCCCAGCGCCGGCCCUAGAGAUCUCUCCCACCUCUCUUAUCCUGUCGAUCUCUUCACGAACAUCAGCUGCUGGCGAUUCAGAGGCUGCAAAAUGGUAAUUCAGUCAUCGGGCCAGCACCCAAAACGUGUCCGGCUGAUAAAAGCUGCAGGGGAUAGGAUGACGCUGAACUUUCAUGGGAUUUGGUUAAUUUUACUCAAAAUGCUGCUCCAACAAGAUCACAUCUCUUUAUGGUGGGCCUUUGGAAUUCUUAUUUGUAGUUGAAAGUACAGAAGAUCCAGCUUACCAUGCUGUAUCUCAGCUGAUCAAAGAAUAUGAGGUAAAUAAUCUCUUUAAAUCUUCCAGGGUACCAUUCUCUGUUUUUGAUGAUAGAAUCUUCCAAGGACACGUUCUUAUCCACUCAACAUUCAAUCUAUCACUUCUUUGGGCAGUAAAACAACAGGGUUUGUUCUGUCACUGCUACCCUUCAGCAACACUAUGAUUCCAUCACCUGCUGCCUUCACCUUCUUACUAUGGGUACAUCGACAAAAGCUUUGAGUAGCAUGUUGAUGCCAGGGUUCUGUAUGCAUUACUAGAUUUGCUGACGGUUAAAUGAUUAAAGAUCAUUGUGAAUGAAUGAAUAUAAUUUAAAAUCAUAUAUGAAGACUUCUUUGGGGGUAAAAAGAAAAAAAGUUCAACAAAGCUGAAGUCCUUCGAUGGAUCUGAAGAACUGAGCAUAGCUGAGAAACAAGAAGAUGAUAAAGGAACUCUUUCAACCCAUGAGAAAGAGCUUCAAAAGAUCUGCUCUAAAAUUGAGCAGAUGGAGAAAGAGAACUUGGAAACUAAGGCUUGGACUAUGCAGGGAGAGGUAACCACCAGUAAAAGGCCGAAGAACAAUGCACUCAAGGUUGAUCUGGAUUUUGAGCACAAUGUAAGACCACCUCCUGUGAUCACAGAAGAGGUUACAGCAUCCCUUGAAGAAUUAAUUACAAAAAGGAUUAUUGAGUUUUGAGUUCCGUCUUAGAGUGGCUCUUACGUUGAAUGGAGAUCUCACCAUGAUAUCGCGGAUUAGGAACCUAGACAGCAAGCCAUUUAGUUUCUCCUUUGCUUUCCACACAUAUUUCUUUGUUUCUGUCAUCAGGAAUUUCAAUGGGAGCUGUUGCUGGAAUCUCUGUUGCAGCGGUUGCCAUUAUACUAUUUCUAGUUUUGUCUAUACAUUGGUGCGUCUAGAAGAAAGAAACUGAAGAAGGCAUCAUUGCUUCGACCACCUUUCGAAGAUAACUCUAUUCACCAUGGAUAAGGUAAAUCUCUUGGUUAGGCAUUAAUCUCUACAUUUUCCUUUUAGGAAUGCUCCAAGGUUCCGACGAGGCCAUGGCAAUCUGAAAGUGAUUCAUGUUAGGAAAGAUUGAAUAAGGUGGUUUGUCGCUCCUGAGGUAUUCAAUAACGGCAAUGGCCAGCAUAAUAGGUGGUUGUUGAACUGUUUUAUGGGCUGUAAUGGUCGAUUUUCAUUACCUAUUUCAUCA
Molecule: RNA transcript, 1544 nt
Organism: Magnolia sinica
Lineage: Eukaryota; Viridiplantae; Streptophyta; Magnoliopsida; Magnoliales; Magnoliaceae
Gene name: putative glucose-6-phosphate 1-epimerase
Exons: 7
Source: RefSeq, a predicted model, not a curated record